GUUAAGAAAUGUGCAUAUCAGGGAAUAAUUAGGCUAAAGUAAUAAUGUUUUGUCAAAAAACUUUUCAACAAGAAAUUUAUCUUUUGUGUAACUAUUUUGAACUGCAGUUUAGGAAAUUCUGUAUCCUGUAAUUGUGAUUUAGUUAUUGGAAUUGUGAUUUAUUGUUAUUGAUUGAUUGUACUCUUGAACUAGGUCCCACUGUUAAAACAGCGAAACCAGUUUGGAAGUGCUGGAGGUCUGCAGUUCAUAAAGUAACCACAAGGUAGCAGUAUAAACUUGUGCGAGUCCGAUUCUUAUUCACAGCUGUUUCAUGAACGCUCUGGUGACUGUAGCAUCUCUGCAUUUACUCCCCAUGUGCGUGCAACUGAAGCUUAAGAAAGCACCUGUUUUUUAUUAGAGCGGUAAUCCAACUCCAGUCCCUCUUAAGGAAGCAGAGGAGAGAUAGAGGUGAAAGGAAAUAUAUAGCUGCUGGAAGAAAAAAAUACAGUAUUUGCAGCACCAUGGGGGUGUUCAUCCACAAAGUCACAUGAGGACUGGGCUGGGAGAGGUUACUGGACUGUGGGAAGAGAGCGAUCUGGGCUGCUUUUGAAGGACAACGCUGAGUGUUAGAAAAGAUCUCAGCUGUUCAUGGUGUCUUUUAUUGCUCAGGAGUUGAUCUUUAAUAGCUCAGGAGAUGUAAUAAAGUUCUCAUUUAUGUUCAGUUUCAGCUGUCUCAGAUGUUUCCUCUUUAGAUUCCUCUGGAAAAAAGAACAAUACACUGUGGACAAAUGAUUUUUGAAGUUGUAAAUAAAAAGAUUAUAGGAGUAUGUUUCAUGUUUAAUUCAAUGUGCUACUUGCCAUUUCUUUGUAAUUAUGAAAUUUACUAGCAGUUUCUAAAUGAUAAUUGUUUCAAAGUAAAUCCUACACGAUUUUUUUUCAGUAGAAAGACAGAACAGGUUUCCCCACACAGAUUUUCAACAGAUUCAAGUUCAUCACACAAAUUUGCACAGAACAGCUUGUUUUGAAAGUGACUCCUGUGUGAGCUGUGCUUUAUGCAUUGCUAAACCUAUAGACAAUGGGUUGUUUUUGACCACAAAAUAAAGGUGGCUGCACUUUUAGUCUGCUAAAAACAGGUUUUGAGUGCAGACUCGUUUGCAACUCAUUUGUUUUUGUUUUUUUCCCUGUACAGGCAUACUGCCCCACGAAGGCAAAACGCAGUAACUACCCAAUCAAAGUCAAAACUGAGCAGAAUCUGGACUGUUAAGAGAAUAGCACACUGAAUACGGCAGGCAGACAACAUACCAUUCUAGGCAGCUUGAAUAGUUUUCACAGCUUGAAUAAAACCUACGUUAAAUAUAGAGAAAUUGCUUAAUGAAUGUUACCCUUUUGAAUUGAACAUCUGCACAGUUUUUUAAUGCACCAAUCUGAAAACUCACUGCCUUCACUUUGUUUAUUAUUUAAGAAGUGCAAAAACUUUUUAUAUAAAUUUCAGGUAUUUCUGUUGCACAAACAGUAAAGCAUGGCACUAGCAGCACCAAUGUAAUGGGUUUGAUUCCCAAGGAAUGCAUGCACUGAUAAAAAAAAUAAAUAAUAAUAAAUGCAUACCUUGAAUGCAUUGUAAGUCGCUUUGGAUAAAAGUGUCUGCCUAUACAUACAUGUAAAUGUAUAGUCACUGAUUCAGACUGCUACUUAGUGGGUGUUUAAAGUAGUACCUCACACUUUUGUAUUGUUAAUGUGAUGAAAAAUUGAUCAAUGAUGUAUAUGCCACACACCCCAGAUUUAUCACUGUCUGUCAGCUGGUAGAGGAAGAUUACUGAGGUUUUUCAUAAUUCAGGUAAGCCUCACUAUUCAUUAUAUAUAAAACCUUUAUUUUAAGAAAACACUGUGCCAGCCUGCAAAAAAAAUGCAUGAAUUUGUUAUGUACACAAAUGCUUUAUACAUGUACACCAUUUCCAUCUCUGAUAGGUCUAGAAAGUGUUAUGACGUCGUCAUGGCCACCCAUCGCUAUAGCUGUGUGUAGUUUUGAAAAUGGCUGGCAAAAGGAAACGAGCAGACAGGACCAGAGUUCCCCACAUCAGUCUCUCUGUCUCUGAUAGGUGGUUUCCAGUUUCAUAAUGACAGACUGAGAGACUUGUAUUAAAAGUCUCCCAUGCCUCUUCGACUCUUUGACUUACGUCAGACUCAAAAAUACAUGCAUUACAGCAUUUCAUUGGGAGACUCCGUCCUCAUUAUGUAUGUUUCCAAUGAGUGGCUAAACUAAGGAGUAAGGGCUGCCCAGUGGAAAAUUAUUGGUGAGAUUUCCAUUGCUCAGGAAACUUAAUGGAGUUCUCAGUUAUGUCUCAUUUGUCUCAGUUCUCAGUUGUCUCAGAUGUUUCUCAUAAGAAAUAAAAAAGAAAUAAAAAUAGAAACUUAGUGACAUACUAUGGAAGCCUAUUU
Long non-coding RNA from Cyprinus carpio (common carp), 2415 nucleotides. RefSeq lists it as uncharacterized. The record is from RefSeq and is a predicted model, not a curated record. The transcript has 3 exons. NCBI's taxonomy places the organism in Eukaryota, Metazoa, Chordata, Actinopteri, Cypriniformes, Cyprinidae.